GCAAGUCGAGCGGUAACAGGAGUAGCUUGCUACUCGCUGACGAGCGGCGGACGGGUGAGUAAUGCUUGGGAAUCUACCUAGUCGAGGGGGACAACAGUUGGAAACGACUGCUAAUACCGCAUACGACCUACGGGUGAAAGGGGGCCUCUUCUUGAAAGCUCUCGCGAUUAGAUGAGCCCAAGUGGGAUUAGCUUGUUGGUGAGGUAAAGGCUCACCAAGGCGACGAUCCCUAGCUGGUCUGAGAGGAUGAUC
This 252-nucleotide ribosomal RNA is filed under the name uncultured bacterium. RNAcentral's name for it is "partial 16S ribosomal RNA". It matches the Rfam family "Bacterial small subunit ribosomal RNA", at positions 57 to 305 of the family's 1533-position model. The record is from RNAcentral.